AUACGUAGGUGGCAAGCGUUGUCCGGAAUUAUUGGGCGUAAAGCGCGCGCAGGCGGUCCUUUAAGUCUGAUGUGAAAGCCCACGGCUCAACCGUGGCGGGUCAUUGGAAACUGGGGGACUUGAGUGCAGAAGAGGAAAGUGGAAUUCAAAGUGUAGCGGGGAAAUGCGUAGAGAUUUGGAGGAACACCAGUGGCGAAGGCGACUUUCUGGUCUGUAACUGACGCUGAGGCGCGAAAGCGUGGGGAGCAAACAGGAUUAGAUACCCUGGUAGUCCACGCCGUAAACGAUGAGUGCUAAGUGUUAGGGGGUUUCCGCCCCUUAGUGCUGCAGCUAACGCAUUAAGCACUCCGCCUGGGGAGUACGGUCGCAAGACUGAAACUCAAAGGAAUUGACGGGG
Molecule: ribosomal RNA, 397 nt
Filed under: uncultured bacterium
Lineage: Bacteria
Description: partial 16S ribosomal RNA
Rfam family: Bacterial small subunit ribosomal RNA
Source: RNAcentral